Molecule: ribosomal RNA, 274 nt
Filed under: uncultured bacterium
Lineage: Bacteria
Description: partial 16S ribosomal RNA
Rfam family: Bacterial small subunit ribosomal RNA
Source: RNAcentral
AUACGAAGGGGGCUAGCGUUGUUCGGAAUAACUGGGCGUAAAGCGCACGUAGGCGGAAUGUUAAGUUAGAGGUGAAAUCCCAGGGCUCAACCCUGGAACUGCCUUUAAUACUGGCAAUCUAGAGAUCGAGAGAGGUGAGUGGAAUUCCGAGUGUAGAGGUGAAAUUCGUAGAUAUUCGGAGGAACACCAGUGGCGAAGGCGGCUCACUGGCUCGAUACUGACGCUGAGGUGCGAAAGCGUGGGGAGCAAACAGGAUUAGAUACCCCAGUAGUCC